AUAUACUAAUAAAAAAUCAACAUUUCUUACUGCUUCCGGUAUGUCACAACGAAAUACGUGGCACUGAAAUAUGGCUGACUCUUGUGUAUCACCGUGGGACCAUGUGAAGGCAAAACAAGCAGCACAGCUACCAGUAAUAUCACCACAUUGCUAAGAAUUUUGUAUAAAAGAUGAACAACUUACACUACCGAACCCUGAGAACUGCUAGGCACAGAGACUGAAACUUUAAUCUCAAGAUUGACAGUCUGUUCAGCUGAUAGAAUUGCCAUAUUCCUCUGGAUUUCAGCCUCAGAUUUGGGGGCAUUUAUUGCAGCAGACCCAAGAUAAGUUACUCCAUUGAAUAUCGUGCAGUCCUGGUGAAAAUCUGCCAUUGUGUUCAACUCUGUGCAUUCCGGAAGAAACAAAAAAAAAACUUGAGAAAAUUGUUCUCUCUCUCUCUGAAAAUAUUCAUCACAAAACUCACCAUAAUCUUCAUAAUCAUCUGGCUUCAUUUCAUCCUGUUUUUCAGUGGUUACCACAUCAUAAAAUUUACUUUGCCCCACUUCUUUCGUUCUCUGGAUGGUACCAUCAAUGAUCUUGACGUCGCCAAUACUAUCCAUUUUUGUGUCUUCAGUUAAUACCUCUCUUAAAUUAUUUUGGAGAUCUUCUAAAUUACCAUUAUUGGCGAUAUUUAGCAUAGGUGGCUCGAGAAGGGCCUGUUGAUUUUUCGAUGAUCCUUUGUCAUUCACGAAUUCAUAUUCAUCGCUAGUCGCCACUGAUUCCAUCGACUUUACGCUCAAACUAUCCUCCAUAACUUGACCCUAUAGACAAUUAUACUCAAUUAUUGAUUUUUUAUUUCCAGGUAAAAAUGAGACAUAAUGCAUAAAUGAUCCAUGGAAAAGACACUGAAUGAAAUUAUUAUUAUUAUUAUUAUUAUUCAACAUCCAAACUAAAUUAUCAUAAAAACAAAACAACAACAACAACAACAACUAUUGGCCAUCGAUAUAUUCCCCAAGGAAAUGUUGGAAGCAACAAAUUGCCCAUCUUUCUUACCAAUGAUGUCAAUACGGUGUCACAUUCGCUUUUUUUUAGAUCAUCUGGAUGACAUUAUAGCCCCGCCUCAUCAUCACGACUCAAUUUUCCACUCAUAUCCUCAGUGACAAACUGGAUCUCUGAUUUAACAGUGUUGUCAGAAUCCACAAAUUAGUCUAUCCACUGAAAAAAUCCAAUGAUACACACAAUUCAAAUAUUCUAUACCUAGGUCUCAUCAGUGUAAUAAUUGAGGGAUUGAAUUGAGGAAAAAAAAAGUGAUGCAAAAAAUUACGUUGGAAAAUGGCUUUGGCAAUUUUAUACCACUCAACCUGAGCUCAACCCAAAUUACCUAUUGCUCUUACAUUUGACAUCACAUAAUGAUGUUUAUCAAUUUCUCGUCUUAUCGAAUCGCCUUUUUAUUAGUCCUUUUGGUAAAAAUUACAGGGGCACGACAAUCUGACAGACACUAAUAUUAUACAUAUAAGCAGAGCUACGGCGUCCGCCAUUUGAUCGGUAGUCACAUGUAUAUAUAAUCAAUAAUAUAUAUGUACAUACAUGUGGAAAACCGCCAACUCAUGCUAAAUUCAAAAAGCAAUCUGUUUUACAUAUCGAAAAUACAGAACAUUUAAUGAAAAAUCA
This is a long non-coding RNA of Diachasma alloeum, 1650 nucleotides long. RefSeq lists it as uncharacterized. The transcript is spliced from 2 exons. NCBI's taxonomy places the organism in Eukaryota, Metazoa, Arthropoda, Insecta, Hymenoptera, Braconidae. The record is from RefSeq and is a predicted model, not a curated record.